This is a long non-coding RNA of Apis cerana (Asiatic honeybee), 4471 nucleotides long. RefSeq lists it as uncharacterized. NCBI's taxonomy places the organism in Eukaryota, Metazoa, Arthropoda, Insecta, Hymenoptera, Apidae. The record is from RefSeq and is a predicted model, not a curated record.
UUUAUGUAUGAAAAGAAGAGGAAUUUGACGAUAUACGAGCUUUUUAUGAAGAAAAGGUUUGAGAUUAUAAGGAUUAUAGAUUAUAUUUAUAUUACGUUAAUCAUAACUUGAACGAAAUAUCGUUUCAAACAUCCGUGAAGGAUGGAAUUUUCUCAGAUCUUCGAUUUAAGAAUUAUUUACUGCAAUGGCUAUUCAUUUCACAAGGAAGCGAGCGCAAAGAUGUUGGCCAAUGAUGGGGAAAAUUUAAUAGUCCAAGUUACUUCGAUAAGUUACUUCGAUAAUUUACUAUUCAAAACAUAAUAAUAUUCGCGAAUAAUUGUACUGUCAAACGAAUAAAUGAUUAUUCGAGCAUUUUAAUAAGUGAUUACUUGAAAUAAUUUUAUUCAAAAUUUUUAACCAAUUAUUUUUUCAACGUGUUAAUCCCCAACUUUAAUCUUGAUCUUCACGCGAUUCUCUAGAAUUGGAAAUUAAUUCUAAAUUGAAAAAAUAAAAAAUUUCGAAUAAAAUUACUUCAAGUACUAUAAUUAUUAUUAUGUUUUGAAUGAUAAGGUAACUUCAACUAUUAAAUUUUCCCCAUCACUGCCCUCGAAUGGAAUUAUUGGUCCCCUUUUAAGUUUGCAUUUUCGGAUUGGAGGAAAAAUCAAAGGGACAGUCUUCUAGAUCGGAUCAGAAAUAAAAUGGAAUUCAGCAACGACAUACAGAUUACGUUACAGAGUCGUCAAUCAAAGUCAAUUAAAAGAAGAAAAUCUGCUCCUGUGGAAAAUUCGCGGAUACAAGCAUUAUACGAGCAUUCGAGAGUUCGAGAUUCAGGAAUGAAUGAAAUUGAAUUAAAAAAAAAAAAAAAAAAAAGGAAAGAAAGGAGAGGAAAAAUUUUUAACUUUAUCCGAAAAAAAUAAUCGAGGAUAAAUGGGAUGCGACUUGGAAAAUUACAGCCUAAUUACGUUUUAAGAGGAUGAUACGAUUUCACGUUACGCGUUAAUUGUUUAACAACCUUAGUUCGAGAAUUAUACAUACGUAACUAAAAUUUCAACGAUUACGAUAUUAGCGGUUGUUUGCUUUUCAUUUGCACACACCGUUUGCGUUUUACACGGUUUAAGCUUCGAUACGGAAACUGUUAUACCUAAUUAGCCACCGUAUACUUUUUAUUAACGCCCAUCCAAUGAAAUCCAGUUCCAAGCAGGACUUUACAGCUGUUUCGUUUGCGCGGUUUUAUUCGUAAUUUCAGUUGGAAAGAAGGAAUUGCGAGUAUGAUCGCUUUAAUCUUUGAAGGAAACGCCUAUUUUCGAUGCGUUAAACGUAGAAUCCAAGAACGUUUUAUUUCUCAUUCGAUAUAAGGUUAAUUCGACGAUAAUUUAAUUUAAUUUAAUGUGAUUUUAAUAUUCGAAAUAAUCUUUAAAUAUUUUCCAAUAUACUUGUUUCAGCUACUUCUGUGCAGAAUUAUCCGAGAUCGAAACUUCGCUCCAUCCAAUUUCGAAAGAUCGAUAAUUCUCCUUUGUUCGAUACGUUAUUGUAUCAUAUUCCUCCCUCAUUUGACGAAUAUCGAGGACGACAGAGGGAAGGAAAAUGCGAGCGGCGUAUUACAAAACUUUGCUUGUAAUUCGUACGUGUAAAAGUAAUUAGUAGUAGAAACGACAAUUGGGGAAACGCUCCACUCCUUUGCAUAAGUAGCGUAACGCGAUUAUCGCGGGGCAAUCGUUUCUGGACCGCGAUACCGUUAUUUAUACCAGUAAAAACCUCGACCCUCCUCGUGGAUAUUAGUUCGAGGUAAAAACGCCCGCCACCAGAAUCCUGUUGUUUUUAAACGAGUUUACGCUUGGAAAUACCUACUUAACCGUAUUCGCAUAAUCUCGGGUGGGAGGGGUAAGAACGGAUUGAACCUGAGUCGGUUUCGUUGUAAAAAUGUAAUGAAGCCACUGGGUAAAAAUUUAAAUAGGAAGAGAGAGAGCACGAGAUCAGAGAUCACUGUACUCUGCUUUAACUUCCGAUAAGAAGGAGAAAAGGUUCGAAGCAAUCGCUCACUUAUUCCCCGGCAAUCGUACACCUGUAAAUGAACACCCACUAUCGCUAAACCAAUCGUUGUUUGACCAAUUUUACGAGACCCUUCCUACUCCACCUGGAGAAAUCGAUUACCGAUCGUUUUUCUCGGUUUUCUUCUAAUUCUAAAAAAAAAAGAAAAAAAAAUAAAAAAACGAAGAACCGGACACUUUUCCACAAGCCUCACCGACCUUUACUCGAGGGAAAUCGUACUGGAUACCGAGAAUUGGAGAAUCAACUUUUAGAAAGGAUACCGGUGCGGUAAGUUUCGGAUUUCUCCUCGAAAUUCUCCUCGAGACGAGAAGCGAGUUCGAUUGUUUUACUUUACCGCGUAAUUGCCACGCUUCGCCGCUGUGUAAUCUCUUAACCGAAGCCAAUUAACGAUGAACAAACGAUUAUCGAACUUAUUAUCCGAAUUAUCUCAAAUUUAUAUAUCGGAUAAUGGUAAUUAGUUUCAGGAAUUAUUUAACGGGUAAUGCUUUUUUUUUACUUCUGUGCCGAAAAUUAUAUCGUCGAAAGAUCGAGAGAGAGAAACGGUGAAAGGAGGUGGACGAUUGGUAAUGAAAACCAAGAGGAAGCCAGCCCUUACCGUUUGAACACCAAUUUGCAUAUUCUAUUGACCUUCUCGUGGUUCGCUGGUUCUGUUAUUGGCGUAACUUUACCUUUCAAACCGCUCCUAAUAUCAUAGCUAUUCUGCCCAACUUCCACUCUUGAACGUUAUCCCGAUAGGCGGGCGCGAGUGUCCCUCUACAAGUUAACGUACGCUUACAUACACGCGUCUCACCCUCCGCACUGCUCUUUAUUACGUUCAACCUCGAUUAUCGGAAUACCGUUUAACCGAACGCUCUAUUAUCCAAACAUCGACGUUCAACAUCGACGAAAGUUGGCGAAAGAUGGCCCACCUAUCGUACGAAUUAUAUUAACGCCAAUAAUCACGUGAUAAUUUUUUUUUCUACGUCACUCACGGUGACGCGAUUCGUCGAUAAUUCGUUUAUUUUGAAUUUCCAGCGGGUAACUCGAUCACUCGGUCGUUAAAUUUUAACUGUUGCGAAGGCGAGAAUUUCCGCUUUCCCCUUUCCUCUGUACACACCAGUUUAAGGUAUUGUUACAAUCAAGCCGGAUUCAAGCUGAUCCUCCCUAUAACGCAAGAAAUUUCAGCUUAGAUUGAAUCGAGUAUAAAUGAAUACCGGUGCGAUUACACGAGCGCGAUGUAAUCAGGGGACAGUUUGGGAAAGUUUAGAUUAGUCAUCUCUGUUCUCACGAUUAUUACAAGUAUACGCUUCUCUCUUAUCCUUGGCUUGGCGAAGAAAUAUCAAAUUGUCUCGUGUUUUUCAUCAACGUAUAGAAGAAGCGUCUACGUUUGACAUUUGGAAAAAUGUAUAUAAUAUAUAUUAAAGGAAAUUAUGUAAUUAUGUACAGGUUAAAUCAUUUUCCUGUUACGAAACUGUUUAACCUACUAACGUAAUAUUUGCUAUCUGUAUAACCGAUAGGGCAGUGUUAUGCAAUACAUAUAUCAACUUUGGAAAAGAAGCACGGCAAAAAUUGAGGCCGCUAGUGUGCAAUGAAUAUAUAAUAGUACAUUGAAGAAAUAAUGAUUCUGAUAAGCAUCAAAGAUAAGAUAAAAUAGAACGUUAAUAAUUAUUCUAUUAUUCUCGUGAGAGUUAUUAAUAAUUAAUCCUGUUAUAAAUAAAAUGCAUUAUUAUAAUACGUGUAUAUUUACAAAUAGUGUGUUAAUACGAAAGUGGUUUGUCGACAAGAACAAAAAAUACCUAAUGAAAUGUCCAGGAGAAAGUUACUCUCGAUACACUUCGUUGGUUACGAAAGAAAAUUCAAAGAUAUUUUAUUCAAUUCCAUACGUGUGUUUAUAAUGAUUCCCUAAUAUCGAUGAUAUUUUUCAUAACAAAUAUUUUAAAAUAAAUUAUUGGCUAUAAAAUUCGUUUCACAUUCGUUCUUGAAUAAUAACAAAAGUGGGGAGACGUUAAAAGAAAAAAAAUGUAAAAAUGAAUAAAGUAAAAUACAAUUUAUUAUUCAUGAAUAUUCAAAUGUCUAAAUGCACGCAUAAUUACAUGCGAAAUAAGGAUGUCAUAAAUAAUUUCUUGUCGUUGUUGCGUCGAUUUUCGAUUAUAAAAAAUUUAAUUAAUUUAAUUUCCAUCUUUAUAUUAUAUUUAAUUCCGAUAAAUGCUAAAUGCUAAUACGCUACCAAUUUCGUCGCUUAUAUAUUUUAAAAUAAUCUCCUUAAUUAUAGCGAUCAUUUGUUGCAGAUUCUCUCAUCGGCCUUUUCGUUCUAUCGUCUAUAACAAAUUUCUCUAAUCUUAAUUCUUAAUCGUAUUAUUCCUCUUUUUAUCAUGUUUUUAUUAUCUCGAGAUUAAUUUAAAUUUUAUAUCACACAUAUAAAGUAGAGAUGAAUGAAAAUAUCAUACAUGCAUAUAUAUAUAUA